AAUGGCUCAUUAAAUCAGUUAUCGUUCAUUUGAUAGCAAAUUACUACUUGGAUAACCGUGGUAAUUCUAGGGCUAAUACAUGCUGAAAACCCCAACUUCGGAAGGGGUGUGUUUAUUAGAUAAAAAACCAAUGCCCUUCGGGGCUCUUUGGUGAAUCAUGAUAACCUAACGAAUCGCAUGGCCUUGCGCCGGCGAUGGUUCAUUCAAAUUUCUGCCCUAUCAACUUUCGAUGGUAGAGUAGUGGUCUACCAUGGUUUCAACGGGUGACGGGGAAUUAGGGUUCGACUCCGGAGAGGGAGCCUGAGAAACGGCUACCACAUCCAAGGAAGGCAGCAGGCGCGCAAAUUACCCAAUCCCGACUCGGGGAGGUAGUGACAAUAAAUACUAAUACAGGGCUCUUUUGGGUCUUGUAAUUGGAAUGAGUACAAUUUAAAUCCCUUAACGAGGAACAAUUGGAGGGCAAGUCUGGUGCCAGCAGCCGCGGUAAUUCCAGCUCCAAUAGCGUAUAUUAAAGUUGUUGCAGUUAAAAAGCUCGUAGUUGAACCUUGGGCCUGGCCGGCCGGUCCGCCUCACCGCGUGCACUGGCCCGGCCGGGUCUUUCCUUCUGGGGAGCCGCAUGCCCUUUACUGGGCGUGUCGGGGAUCCAGGACUUUUACUUUGAAAAAAUUAGAGUGUUCAAAGCAGGCCUUUGCUCGAAUACAUUAGCAUGGAAUAAUAGAAUAGGACGUGCGGUCCUAUUUUGUUGGUUUCUAGGACCGCCGUAAUGAUUAAUAGGGACAGUCGGGGGCAUCCGUAUUCAAUUGUCAGAGGUGAAAUUCUUGGAUUUAUUGAAGACGAACUACUGCGAAAGCAUUUGCCAAGGAUGUUUUCAUUAAUCAGUGAACGAAAGUUAGGGGAUCGAAGACGAUCAGAUACCGUCGUAGUCUUAACCGUAAACUAUGCCGACUAGGGAUCGGGCGAUGUUACCAUUUUGACUCGCUCGGCACCUUACGAGAAAUCAAAGUCUUU
Molecule: ribosomal RNA, 1008 nt
Filed under: Purpurepithecium murisporum
Lineage: Eukaryota; Fungi; Ascomycota; Dothideomycetes; Gloniales; Gloniaceae
Description: SSU rRNA
Rfam family: Eukaryotic small subunit ribosomal RNA
Source: RNAcentral